GCUCAGGACGAACGCUGGCGGCGCGCCUAAUGCAUGCAAGUCGAACGAUCCCUUGGCCUUCGGGCCUUGGGAUAGUGGCGAACGGCUGAGUAACGCGUAAGCAACCUACCCCUGAGUGGGGAAUAGCCCGCCGAAAGGUGGAUUAAUACCGCAUGCGAUGGCCGACCGCAUGGUUGGUCAUGAAAGCUCCGGCUUGCCGGGGCGCUCGGGGAGGGGCUUGCGUCCUAUCAGGUAGUUGGUGGGGUAGUGGCCUACCAAGCCAUAGACGGGUAGCUGGUCUGAGAGGACGGUCAGCCAGAGGGGGACUGAGACACGGCCCCCACUCCUACGGGAGGCAGCAGCAGGGAAUCUUGCGCAAUGGGCGAAAGCCUGACGCAGCGACGCCGCGUGGGGGAAGAAUGCCUUCGGGUUGUAAACCCCUUUUCUGGGGGAAGAGAAUGGACGGUACCCCAGGAAUAAGCCCCGGCUAACUACGUGCCAGCAGCCGCGGUAAUACGUAGGGGGCGAGCGUUGUCCGGAUUUACUGGGCGUAAAGGGCGUGUAGGCGGUUCAGGUAGUCCCUAGUGAAAUCUCCCAGCUCAACUGGGAUAGGUCUAAGGAUACUCCUGGACUUGAGGGCAGUAGAGGAGAGCGGAAUUCCCGGUGGAGUGGUGAAAUGCGUAGAUAUCGGGAGGAACACCCGUGGCGAAGGCGGCUCUCUGGGCUGUACCUGACGCUGAGGCGCGAAAGCGUGGGGAGCAAACCGGAUUAGAUACCCGGGUAGUCCACGCUGUAAACGAUGGAUGCUGGGUAUGGGGGGUAUCGACCCCCUCCGUGCCGAAGCUUACGCGUUAAGCAUCCCGCCUGGGGACUACGGCCGCAAGGCUAAAACU
RNAcentral lists this ribosomal RNA (872 nucleotides) under uncultured Chloroflexota bacterium. Its description in RNAcentral is "SSU rRNA". It matches the Rfam family "Bacterial small subunit ribosomal RNA", at positions 22 to 901 of the family's 1533-position model. Lineage: Bacteria; Bacillati; Chloroflexota. The record is from RNAcentral.